AACGAACGCUGGCGGCAUGCCUAACACAUGCAAGUCGAACGAGACCUUCGGGUCUUGUGGCGCACGGGUGCGUAACGCGUGGGAACCUGCCCUUAGGUUCGGAAUCACUCCCCGAAAGGGGUGCUAAUACCGGAUAAUGUCUUCGGACCAAAGAUUUAUCGCCUUGGGAUGGGCCCGCGUUGGAUUAGCUAGUUGGUAGGGUAAAAGCCUACCAAGGCGACGAUCCAUAGCUGGUCUGAGAGGAUGAUCAGCCACACUGGGACUGAGACACGGCCCAGACUCCUACGGGAGGCAGCAGUGGGGAAUAUUGCACAAUGGGCGAAAGCCUGAUCCAGCAAUGCCGCGUGAGUGAUGAAGGCCUUAGGGUUGUAAAGCUCUUUUACCCGGGAUGAUAAUGACAGUACCGGGAGAAUAAGCGCCGGCUAACUACGUG
Molecule: ribosomal RNA, 433 nt
Filed under: uncultured bacterium
Lineage: Bacteria
Description: partial 16S ribosomal RNA
Rfam family: Bacterial small subunit ribosomal RNA
Source: RNAcentral